UGCACAUGUAGAUGAGCCCACAGAGAGGGAUACUGCUGCAGCUAGUGAAUUUUGAAAACCAAAAUGCAGCUCUAUGAUUUAUCCCUUGAGCAAUGAAUAACCAAGUCAGGAAUCUUACUGAUAUGAAGCACAAUCCUAAACUGGAGCACUCUGAACAAAGGAAUUACUUAUUUUAGUAACUGUCUGGUAGGAAAGACAAAAAUCAAAUGAGAAGGAGAUAAACAUUUUAAUCACUGCCUUGGCAUACUACUUACUGAACAACAGAUUCAAAUAGGCAACCCUGAAAAAAGCCAUGAGGCUGAAAUGUCAGGUAUCACAACAUGAAAAAAUAUAUUUUAGAUGUCCAAACAAAGCUCUGAAACACUAGAGGAAGACCCACAAGUCCCAACCUCCUUUUGUUUAGGAAUGACAUCCCUGUCAGAAAAUACUGCCAGAAGCACAAGCCUUAAUAUCCAACUCUGCAAUCAAGUUAAUGGGUCUCUGUGCAGACAAGAUCAUGACUCAAGUUAUUCAACCCUAUUUUAUUAG
RNAcentral lists this long non-coding RNA (528 nucleotides) under Crocodylus porosus (Australian saltwater crocodile). Its description in RNAcentral is "lncRNA (ENSCPRG00005016894.1)". The record is from RNAcentral. Lineage: Eukaryota; Metazoa; Chordata; Crocodylia; Crocodylidae.